GCGUCUGACACGGCCCAUCGGUUGCAGGUCUGCACCAGUCGUCGGUAACGGCGC
This 54-nucleotide non-coding RNA is filed under the name Enterobacter hormaechei. RNAcentral's name for it is "SECIS_2". It matches the Rfam family "Selenocysteine insertion sequence 2". The record is from RNAcentral. Lineage: Bacteria; Pseudomonadati; Pseudomonadota; Gammaproteobacteria; Enterobacterales; Enterobacteriaceae.